UAGUCCACGCCGUAAACGAUGUCUACUAGCCGUUGGGAAUCUAGUUAUUCUUAGUGGCGCAGCUAACGCACUAAGUAGACCGCCUGGGGAGUACGGCCGCAAGGUUAAAACUCAAAUGAAUUGACGGGGGCCCGCACAAGCGGUGGAGCAUGUGGUUUAAUUCGAUGCAACGCGAAGAACCUUACCAUCUCUUGACAUCCUGCGAACUUGGUAGAGAUACCUUGGUGCCUUCGGGAGCGCAGUGACAGGUGCUGCAUGGCUGUCGUCAGCUCGUGUUGUGAAAUGUUGGGUUAAGUCCCGUAACGAGCGCAACCCUUGUCCUUAGUUGCCAGCGAGUAAUGUCGGGAACUCUAGGGAGACUGCCGGUGACAAACCGGGAGGAAGGUGGGGACGACGUCAAGUCAUCAUGGCCCUUACGAGAUGGGGCUACACACGUGCUACAAUGGCCGGUACAGAGGGUCGCAAACCCGCGAGGGGGAGCC
RNAcentral lists this ribosomal RNA (482 nucleotides) under uncultured bacterium. Its description in RNAcentral is "bacterial SSU rRNA". It matches the Rfam family "Bacterial small subunit ribosomal RNA", at positions 791 to 1269 of the family's 1533-position model. The record is from RNAcentral.